ACGAAGGUCCCAAGCGUUGUUCGGAUUUACUGGGCGUAAAGAGUCUGUAGGCGGCGGGGUAAGUCAGAUGUGAAAUCCCGGGGCUCAACCCCGGAACUGCAUCCGAUACUGCCUUGCUAGAGUAUUGGAGGGGAGUCUGGAAUUCUCGGUGUAGCAGUGAAAUGCGUAGAUAUCGAGAGGAACACUAGUGGCGAAGGCGAGACUCUGGACAAUUACUGACGCUGAGAGACGAAGGUCAGGGGAGCGAAAAGGAUUAGAUACCCUUGUAGUCCUGACAGUAAACGGUGCACGCUUGGUGUGGGAAGGUUCGACCCUUUCUGUGCCGGAGCUAACGCGUUAAGCGUGCCGCCUGGGGAGUACGGUCGCAAGAUUA
Molecule: ribosomal RNA, 373 nt
Filed under: uncultured bacterium
Lineage: Bacteria
Description: bacterial SSU rRNA
Rfam family: Bacterial small subunit ribosomal RNA
Source: RNAcentral